This 450-nucleotide ribosomal RNA is filed under the name uncultured bacterium. RNAcentral describes it as "partial 16S ribosomal RNA". It matches the Rfam family "Bacterial small subunit ribosomal RNA", at positions 354 to 796 of the family's 1533-position model. The record is from RNAcentral.
GUGGGGAAUAUUGGACAAUGGGCGAAAGCCUGAUCCAGCCAUGCCGCGUGUGUGAAGAAGGUCUUCGGAUUGUAAAGCACUUUAAGUUGGGAGGAAGGGCAGUAAGUUAAUACCUUGCUGUUUUGACGUUACCGACAGAAUAAGCACCGGCUAACUUCGUGCCAGCAGCCGCGGUAAUACGAAGGGUGCAAGCGUUAAUCGGAAUUACUGGGCGUAAAGCGUGCGCAGGCGGUUAUAUAAGACAGAUGUGAAAUCCCCGGGCUCAACCUGGGAACUGCCUCCAAAACUGCAUGACUAGAGUACGGUAGAGGGUAGUGGAAUUUCCUGUGUAGCGGUGAAAUGCGUAGAUAUAGGAAGGAACACCAGUGGCGAAGGCGACUACCUGGACUGAUACUGACACUGAGGUGCGAAAGCGUGGGGAGCAAACAGGAUUAGAUACCCUAGUAGUCC